AAGCAAGACGCUUUAAAUAAAGUUUCGAUCGAACCUUUCUUGUCAACCAUGUCAACCUGAUAAAGCGGAACUAAGUGAAUUAGUUUUCAAAAGGUUAGCCAAAUUCCAAAAUGAUAAACAGUCAAUUUAGAUGCGAAUCAACCAACUUUAGUCUUUUGCCCCGCGGAUCACUAUUUUUUGUUUUGUUUUUUAGUUCUUUUAAAUGUCAUGGCUAAUCGCAAUUCAUGAUCAAUGAAAGUAGCAUGUGGAUCAAUAGUUGGGAUACUCCAUUGCCAGGGUUGAUUGAUAGAGACGUACAAAUAAUGAUUCACCAAUUGAAUAGGACUUGGUGUAAAAUAUCGAUUCACACCGACGAAAUUCGAUUUUAAAAUGAGUGUGUUGCUGAAGAUAGUAGUCCACAAGUUAAACAACAAAUAUAUCAGUGUCUUCUUCACUUGUGUUCGAUUUGGACUGUUGAGACAUGUUAGCUGCCAUUGCUGAUAGCUCGCUCUGCCGCCCCUCCAUCAAUGUUCAGCUUCGUUUCUUUCUCCCUAUAGUCUCUUUAUUCGCCACCCAUUGUAACAGCCAUCGCCUCAUCUCUGUCAUGACCAGACCCGCUGAAGAAAACACAGGUUGGAUGUGCUCCAUCGAUUUUGGAGAGAAACACAAGCUGCGGGAUGCUAGCUCGAUUAAUUGGAGAGAAACAUGUUCUAUCCCCUGCAAUAUCGUGUUCAGCUCGUAAAACAAUGGGAGCAUGCGAUCAUAUUUUGUUUGAAAAACCAUGUCUAUGUCAAUGGAGAAAUGUUAAAGGUGAGUUGAAGCUGGCCGAGACUUAGGUCAAGGAAUCUUUAAUAGGCAUGGACCCCAUGGCGAAGAAAAUGUUGGUCGAUGAUGUUACCCCAAUGUUGUUGUAUGAAUCCAACCCAUUCAAAAUAAAGAAAGAAGGCCGGUGACAAAUGAUAAUUUGGAGUCGAGUUUAACGCGCAAAAUUAUGACUAAUGGUCAAUGUAAAAUGAUUUGAUCUUAGGUAUUCACCCAGAGCUUACUUUUUAUCUUA
Long non-coding RNA from Carya illinoinensis, 1036 nucleotides. RefSeq lists it as uncharacterized. The transcript is spliced from 3 exons. Lineage: Eukaryota; Viridiplantae; Streptophyta; Magnoliopsida; Fagales; Juglandaceae. The record is from RefSeq and is a predicted model, not a curated record.